GGAGGGUCCUGGGUAGAGUGUGUGCUUGGCAUGCACAAGGUCCUGGGUUCAAUCCCCAGUACCUCCA
RNAcentral lists this transfer RNA (67 nucleotides) under Camelus bactrianus (Bactrian camel). It matches the Rfam family "tRNA". From Rfam's summary of the family: Transfer RNA (tRNA) molecules are approximately 80 nucleotides in length. RNAcentral also lists the same sequence under 2 other names. The record is from Rfam by way of RNAcentral. Lineage: Eukaryota; Metazoa; Chordata; Mammalia; Artiodactyla; Camelidae.